RNAcentral lists this long non-coding RNA (219 nucleotides) under Homo sapiens (human). Its description in RNAcentral is "HSALNT0085091". The record is from RNAcentral. Lineage: Eukaryota; Metazoa; Chordata; Mammalia; Primates; Hominidae.
UAGGUUGGAAUUUGUAAUGGAAUUUAGUUGAAAGAAUAAUUGCCAGAAAGAAAUACCUGAAAACCACUGGUCUGUAAAAAUAAAGAAGAUUCUCAGUAUGCUGAUUAAAUAGUACCUGAGCUACUGUGUUAUAAUCUGAAUGCCAUACUUCAUGGAAUGUAUCCAGCGGAGAGUCGUCUCACCUAAUUCUAAGGAAAUCUGAAUUGCAUUAUAUAAGAG